Molecule: long non-coding RNA, 621 nt
Filed under: Anas platyrhynchos platyrhynchos (common mallard)
Lineage: Eukaryota; Metazoa; Chordata; Aves; Anseriformes; Anatidae
Description: lncRNA (ENSAPLG00000020480.1)
Source: RNAcentral
AUGGGCAUGUCAGAAAGGCAACAGCUUCCCUGGACGUGGGGUGUUUGUGUGCCGUGCCGUGGGUGCUGCUUGCUGCUGGCAGCGCUCCUUGGUUCGGGUCUGGGCUGUAGUGUGGAGGUUUUCACUGGUAUCAUAGCACACAGGGGACAAAUAAUACGGAGCAGAGGAAGGCACGGGGAUAUAAAAACAAUCCCCUCAGCAAAUGGAGGGCCACGGCACAUCAAUUUCUUUCUGCAGUGUCUGGUGGUUGUUGCAGGAAGACGCGGUGCAGCCACCUCAUCAAAAGACCCCCCUGGCUUUGUGGUACCUGGGUCUCCCCAUAGCAAGGAGACAGCAGGAGCAUAUUGUCGGUGUCUUCUGGUCUCUGAGCCUCCUGGGAGCCCGAGGAUGAUACAUGAGUUGAUUUCUUCUGGAAGGGGGAUGAGCAGCCUCCAACUUGCCAGCCCAGGAGGAAGCGUUUGGGUGUUUCGCAUGUGGUUCAGCACACAGGGGCUCAGCACCUCUCCCAGCUGCCAAGGAGUGAAUGGCCAGGAGAUCUCAGGCUUCAGCGGAGGCAGGAACCAGCUUGUUGCCGAAGAAUUUCUCACUGGUGGAUUUGAAGACAGCAGACGUGGAAAAUAA